RNAcentral lists this ribosomal RNA (530 nucleotides) under uncultured bacterium. RNAcentral describes it as "bacterial SSU rRNA". It matches the Rfam family "Bacterial small subunit ribosomal RNA", at positions 777 to 1304 of the family's 1533-position model. The record is from RNAcentral.
AAUAGAUACCCUGGUAGUCCACGCCGUAAACGUUGGGCGCUAGAUGUGGGGGACCAUUCCACGGUUUCCGUGUCGCAGCUAACGCAUUAAGCGCCCCGCCUGGGGAGUACGGCCGCAAGGCUAAAACUCAAAGGAAUUGACGGGGGCCCGCACAAGCGGCGGAGCAUGCGGAUUAAUUCGAUGCAACGCGAAGAACCUUACCAAGGCUUGACAUAUACGAGAACGCUCUAGAAAUAGGGAAACUCUUUGGACACUCGUAUACAGGUGGUGCAUGGUUGUCGUCAGCUCGUGUCGUGAGAUGUUGGGUUAAGUCCCGCAACGAGCGCAACCCUCGUUCUAUGUUGCCAGCGGUUCGGCCGGGAACUCAUAGGAGACUGCCGGGGUCAACUCGGAGGAAGGUGGGGAUGACGUCGAAAUCAUCAUGCCCCUUAUGUCUUGGGCUUCACGCAUGCUACAAUGGCCGGUACAAAGGGCUGCAAUCCGUAAGGUGGAGCGAAUCCCAAAAAGCCGGUCUCAGUUCGGAUUGAGGU